AACCAGAUCCUGCAUGCCGCAACUAAGACCCGGCGCAGCCAAAUAAGUAAAUACAUAAUUUAAAAAAAAAAAGAAUUUAGAAGGAAAUGGAAAAUGUCCUGUAGAUUAGGAUGGUCUAGGAAGGCUUCAUGGAAGAGUCAGGGCUUAAACUCAGUCCUGAAGGAUUACUGUGGUUAAUGUAAGUGGAGGGGCAGUAGAGGGAAUCCAAAUAAGAAAUACUGAUACAAUAAAAGUACACAAUAAUUCUCUCUUUGUGGUAAACAUUUAGUAGACCUGCUUGAUUAGAAGAGGGAAGGAAGAGAGAGAGAGAAUGUAAUGAGGAACAACAUACAUGUUAUAUUCAUCCAUCCAUCCAUCCAUCCAUCUAUCCAUUCAUCUAUCCAUCCAUCUACCAAGCACAUAGUUAGGGAGUUAGGUAAGGCGCAGAGCUAGGAUUUGAACUAGGGUUGCUGUGCAUUCAAGCUUAUAUUCUUUUUAUAAGUAUGAAAUGUUUUCAAUACAUGUUUGCAAGAGCUGAGCUGUGGAUGUAGAGAUAGUGAGUUUCUUUAUUACUCUUUUCCAAGAAUUAACUUGAUACGUUUAACAGAUGUACGUCAAGAAAGCAAUGCUAAAGAAAGAAAAAAAGCUAUGUGAGCAGACAUGCGUUGGUAUAUGUAUAUGUGUUGAGUAUGUGUACAAAAGAGAAGGUCAUUCAGCCAUUGUUAACCACAUCCAUGUCAAAAGAAGUAAUGAAUUAUCUUCUUCAGCACUGUAUUUGCUUUCUGAUUUGUACAAGAUCUCUUCUAUUCCAUUAGUCCUUUGAAGUGCUGCUCACCAAGGAGAUUAUAAGGUGGGAAGAAAGAGAGGAUGAAUGAACGCAUGAGCAAUCUUCAUCAUAAGGAGAAACAGCUCCGAGCACACUUCAUGCUGAAAGCAGAUGGGGGAAGAAUCUACAUGAUGAUUGAGAUGUGCAGAUGGAUAGACUGUAGGAUGAAAAAAAGGGCAGCUCUAAAAUAUAGAGAAUGAACAGACUUACUGCUGAAAAACAAGUGAAUGAUGAAAAUUGAGAAAAUUUGCAGUAAUGAUUAGACCAUAUGGAGUAAAGUAUCUACUUUUAUUAGAGAAAAUUUUCUUCUGAUAUAAGGACAAUUGCUCUUAUCUGAGAAGAAAACAUGUACACCAGCUGAACUUGGAAAUUUCCUUUUUGUCUUAUAAUGUAAUAGCAUCAACGUAUCAUGUUUUUCUUAAAACUGUGUAUUUGUAUUAAUAUGUUGCAAUUUGAAAAUAACCUUCACAUGUAAUUUUUUUCAUAUAAUCUCUGUGAUUUAUGUAAGGCAAAUAUUAUCCUUAUCUUGUAAAUAAAAACACCCAACAUUAGUAGUCUGAGUGAUUUUUACUAUAUUGUGAAGCGUGAAAGUGGUAGAAAAUAAAUA
Molecule: long non-coding RNA, 1412 nt
Organism: Aethalodelphis obliquidens (Pacific white-sided dolphin)
Lineage: Eukaryota; Metazoa; Chordata; Mammalia; Artiodactyla; Delphinidae
Exons: 3
Source: RefSeq, a predicted model, not a curated record